UGCGCCAAGGAAAACCGAACGAAGCGUCCGCCCCCGGCAUCCCGUUCGCGGAGCGUGCCGUGGGAUCGGGCGUCUAUCAAAUGUCAAAACGACUCUCGGCAACGGAUAUCUCGGCUCUCGCAUCGAUGAAGAACGUAGCGAAAUGCGAUACUUGGUGUGAAUUGCAGAAUCCCGUGAACCAUCGAGUCUUUGAACGCAAGUUGCGCCCGAAGCCAUUAGGCCGAGGGCACGUCUGCCUGGGCGUCACGC
This 249-nucleotide ribosomal RNA is filed under the name Minthostachys acris. Its description in RNAcentral is "5.8S ribosomal RNA". The stretch from base 91 to 246 matches the Rfam family "5.8S ribosomal RNA". From Rfam's summary of the family: 5.8S ribosomal RNA (5.8S rRNA) is a component of the large subunit of the eukaryotic ribosome. It is transcribed by RNA polymerase I as part of the 45S precursor that also contains 18S and 28S rRNA. Functionally, it is thought that 5.8S rRNA may be involved in ribosome translocation. Lineage: Eukaryota; Viridiplantae; Streptophyta; Magnoliopsida; Lamiales; Lamiaceae. The record is from RNAcentral.